UUUAACUGAAGAGUUUGAUCAUGGCUCAGAUUGAACGCUGGCGGCAGGCUUAACACAUGCAAGUCGAGCGGGGGAAGGUAGCUUGCUACCGGACCUAGCGGCGGACGGGUGAGUAAUGCUUAGGAAUCUGCCUAUUAGUGGGGGACAACAUCUCGAAAGGGAUGCUAAUACC
RNAcentral lists this ribosomal RNA (172 nucleotides) under Acinetobacter baumannii. Its description in RNAcentral is "partial 16S ribosomal RNA". It matches the Rfam family "Bacterial small subunit ribosomal RNA", at positions 1 to 170 of the family's 1533-position model. Lineage: Bacteria; Pseudomonadati; Pseudomonadota; Gammaproteobacteria; Moraxellales; Moraxellaceae. The record is from RNAcentral.